ACAUAUUGGGAGCUCCUCUGGGAUUUGAAGAUUCCGUGUCCAGCCAGCCACCGUUUUUGACCUCCAGAUGCUUGGUGUGAGAAGGAAUCUUUUUGUGUUCCAGUCUGGACUCAAAAUUCGGAGGCUCAGCCAGGGCCCCGCCCCCUGCCCCUGAGAAGAUCUCCAAGAAACAGAUAGAAAACCCAGAUUAUUCCUGAUACACUGGUGGUUUCUGCCUCCUAAAUGAUGCUGGGUAUGCUGUGACCACCACUGAGGAAGUCAUUGACCGAUUCCUCAGGACAACAGGCCAAAUUGGAAGCCCUGGCUCGAGCUUGUGAAUUCAUUAGCAAAAGGAAAACUAGGGAACAUUUUUACAUGGGCAGCAGUCAUUUUCUAAGAACUUAUACUGAAGUUGGAAUCCAGAGAGUGGGUCUAUUGGAAAAAGGCAAGGAUUCCCUACUUCCUAGUCCCUACAGUCCUGCUCACCAACCCCUCUGCUGCAAAACUGAAGCUUGACAACUGGAUACAAUCUCUUACCUGAAGAGAAGCUCCAAAUGGAUUGCCCAGUAACCCGGAAAAAGAAGCAGACAACAGCAGGGUGGACCACUUUCCCAAGAUACCGGCCGUGGCCUUAGAAUCUUGUGCUUGUGCCCCAGCUUACAUUAAACUUUUGCAAACUACAUCCCUGUACCAGAUACUGAAUCCAGCUUAGUUGUUACUCUUACUGUAUUAUCUAUUCCCAUGAGCAAAUUCCUUUUCAAAGUUGGUAAAUGUGUAUAAAAUCAACCCCUUUAUAAAUUGAGUCAACUUUGACAAGGUAACUCUGGACCCUUGGUACUUUGGGCACUACUUUUUGGUCAGCGACAGAAUUCCCGAAUUCCUCUUGACCAAGAGGAAAAAACUAUAACCACAAUUUACUGAGGACCGAUUCUCCAUUCCUAGGCCAGUGAGUUGCCUGGGGCAGAUGAAUCUUUGUCAAUUCCAGACUCUUGAUUCAUUUUAUAGAUCUCCCCUGUUAAUAAGAACGUAUGGACCACCUGGAUUUGAUGGAGAUGCCUUAUUAUCCAAGAGAGUUUUAUGAAACCCUGUAUUAAUAGGCGCAAAACGUCCUUCAACUCCAAACUGAAGCCAGAUAGCUCGCAGAUAAGUCCCUACCUGGUGACUUCUUUCCCCAGGAUAGUAAAUCCCUAUCUUAUGGGGACAUCUGGGCGUCCUCAUCCUUGCCAAAC
Molecule: long non-coding RNA, 1208 nt
Organism: Dromiciops gliroides (monito del monte)
Lineage: Eukaryota; Metazoa; Chordata; Mammalia; Microbiotheria; Microbiotheriidae
Exons: 3
Source: RefSeq, a predicted model, not a curated record